AUUGAACGCUGGCGGCAGGCUUAACACAUGCAAGUCGAACGAUGAUUAUCUAGCUUGCUAGAUAUGAUUAGUGGCGGACGGGUGAGUAACAUUUAGGAAUCUGCCUAGUAGUGGGGGAUAGCUCGGGGAAACUCGAAUUAAUACCGCAUACGACCUACGGGUGAAAGGGGGCGCAAGCUCUUGCUAUUAGAUGAGCCUAAAUCAGAUUAGCUAGUUGGUGGGGUAAAGGCCCACCAAGGCGACGAUCUGUAACUGGUCUGAGAGGAUGAUCAGUCACACCGGAACUGAGACACGGUCCGGACUCCUACGGGAGGCAGCGGUGGGGAAUAUUGGACAAUGGGGGCAACCCUGAUCCAGCCAUGCCGCGUGUGUGAAGAAGGCCUUUGGUUGUAAAGCACUUUAAGCAGGGAGGAGAGACUAAUGGUUAAUACCCAUUAGAUUAGACGUUACCUGCAGAAUAAGCACCGGCUAACUCUGUGCCAGCAGCCGCGGUAAUACAGAGGGUGCGAGCGUUAAUCGGAAUUACUGGGCGUAAAGCGAGUGUAGGUGGCUCAUUAAGUCACAUGUGAAAUCCCCGGGCUUAACCUGGGAACUGCAUGUGAUACUGGUGGUGCUAGAAUAUGUGAGAGGGAAGUAGAAUUCCAGGUGUAGCGGUGAAAUGCGUAGAGAUCUGGAGGAAUACCGAUGGCGAAGGCAGCUUCCUGGCAUAAUAUUGACACUGAGAUUCGAAAGCGUGGGUAGCAAACAGGAUUAGAUACCCUGGUAGUCCACGCCGUAAACGAUGUCUACUAGCCGUUGGGGUCCUUGAGACUUUAGUGGCGCAGUUAACGCGAUAAGUAGACCGCCUGGGGAGUACGGCCGCAAGGUUAAAACUCAAAUGAAUUGACGGGGGCCCGCACAAGCGGUGGAGCAUGUGGUUUAAUUCGAUGCAACGCGAAGAACCUUACCUGGUCUUGACAUAGUGAGAAUCCUGUAGAGAUGCGGGAGUGUCUUCGGGAAUUCACAUACAGGUGCUGCAUGGCUGUCGUCAGCUCGUGUCGUGAGAUGUUGGGUUAAGUCCCGCAACGAGCGCAACCCUUUUCCUUAUUUGCCAGCGGGUUAAGCCGGGAACUUUAAGGAUACUGCCAGUGACAAACUGGAGGAAGGCGGGGACGACGUCAAGUCAUCAUGGCCCUUACGACCAGGGCUACACACGUGCUACAAUGGUAGGUACAGAGGGUUGCUACACAGCGAUGUGAUGCUAAUCUCAAAAAGCCUAUCGUAGUCCGGAUUGGAGUCUGCAACUCGACUCCAUGAAGUCGGAAUCGCUAGUAAUCGCAGAUCAGAAUGCUGCGGUGAAUACGUUCCCGGGCCU
Molecule: ribosomal RNA, 1354 nt
Filed under: uncultured bacterium
Lineage: Bacteria
Description: bacterial SSU rRNA
Rfam family: Bacterial small subunit ribosomal RNA
Source: RNAcentral